This 209-nucleotide unclassified non-coding RNA is filed under the name soil metagenome. RNAcentral describes it as "partial contains 5.8S ribosomal RNA, internal transcribed spacer 2, and large subunit ribosomal RNA". The record is from RNAcentral.
AACCUAGCACACCUGCGGUGUGUACCUGCGGAAGGAUCAUUACCGAGUUUACAACUCCCAAACCCCUGUGAACAUACCACUUGUUGCCUCGGCGGAUCAGCCCGCUCCCGGUAAAACGGGACGGCCCGCCAGAGGACCCCUAAACUCUGUUUCUAUAUGUAACUUCUGAGUAAAACCAUAAAUAAAUCAAAACUUUCAACAAUGGAUCU